GGUGGAGAGAAGAGGGCAUACUCAGCGCAUGCGCCAGAAGCCAACUGCGGCGAUCUCGGAGAAGCAGUCCUUUAACUUGCAUCAGCACUGCGGCUUAAGGCUACGCUGGUUCUCUUUCGCCUGUCCAGUUCUACCUUGGCCUGUGGAGCCACCCUAGACCCGCGGAAUCUGUGCCGCUGCUCCCUCUACCCUCUCUUCCGGCGGCCAGCACUAAGAAUUUGUGCUACGACGCUCGAUUCAGCCAGAAGGUGGCACCAAGUGUGAUCAGAAGCCAUGCCACUGGUGAAGAGGUAUAUUGAACCCUGCCUGGCCCAGUGAGGUUACUAGAGAAUUGGGAGAGGCUUAGAUCAAUGUCCUGCACAUGGCUAUCUACUCAUUGUGAAGUCUUGAAAAUCACCUGGGAUGCCUGUUAAAAAUGCAGAUUCUUGAGCAGCCAGAACCUUGUCAUUGGUCAAGAGCAACACUAAGACCUACCUGUCACUUAUGUUGAGGCUUCUUGCCCAGUGGGUUCAUCAGCAAGCCAGAAUGAAUCGCCAUUGCCAUGGAUGUCCUUGUGAGGCAGUUGGGAAUUCUUGUCACAGAAGCUGCAAUGAAUUCUCUCAUGGCCCUGAAGUAUGGUUUGUUCCCAUGGUGAAGAACCUAACAGAAGAUUGAUAGCGUGGACAUUUCUGGCAUCAGGGAUGAGGUUUCAGGUGUACCAUACAGGGGUUCAGCAACUCCAUAUAUUUAUUACUCAGUGUUCAACUCAGUGUUCAUCAAGGAGACCUUUAGAAACAACUUGUCAAGUCCUCACCAUGAAUACCAUUGGAAUUGCAGUUGGAAUGGCAUUGAAUGCGUAGAUUUAAUUUUUGGAGAGCUAUCGUCUUUAUAAUCUCCUCAUACAUGAAUGUGAAGUGCUUCCUCUAUCCUGCAAGCUUCUGGGAACUCAGUGCCCAUUGUGUACAGGAUAUUUACCCAUUGAAGACCUUCAUGCCCUCCAAUAUAAGGCUAACUGGGUUCUCACUACAGAAGUUUAGAAUCAGAGAGUUUCUUCUCUCUGCUGCCUUUUGAGCUGCGGCACUAUGCUGGGAGAUGGGACUAUGGAGACGAAUUUAGGCACAGUCCCUGCCCUCAGGUGUUCUCAGUCUAGUGAGAGGGUUCGACGUGUACACAGAUAAUUACAACAGUAUGGUAUGCUCUACAAUGGAGGUAUGUACAAGAUACUAUGGGGUUUAGAAGAGAAAUCAUUUGAUUGAGUAUAGAGAUGCCAGAGGUUGGAGGAACUGAUGCUUAAGUGGCUUAAAAGAAGUAACGCUAGACUAGGAAGAAGACAGGGAAGUACCUGUUAAACAUAGGUGUGGACAUUGGAGAUAGAAUGAUGACAUGGGGGAACUACAAGUAGUUCCUAAAAUUCAGACGUGGGCUGACACUAGGUCCUUAUGUAGUAUUCACUGAAAUAUGGAUUUCAUUUUGAGUGUUUAAGUAGGAGAUGCUUUUGAUGGUCACUCUGGCAGUAUUCUAGAGUAUGUUCUGGAAGAUACUCAGAUCUGGACAGGGAGAUUAGUUAGUAGGUAAGAUGAUAAAUUACCUAAGGCCAGAAGGAGUGGGAGUGGAGGAAUGGAGCUAACCUCUUAAUGAGAGGCUGUACAAACAUGGACAUAAGAGAACAUGGGAAAACUAAUAGAGGGGGCAAUUAAGGCUCUCAGACUUUGGCAAAUGUGCAAUCACCUAUCUCCAUCCCUGGCCUUUAUGAGAAAUCCUCUCAUGUUUUCUGGAAGAGCAUUGCUGCUGUUUUCUUUUGAAACAGGGCUUAACUGUACUGUUUUUUGCAAGUUUCUUUUUGGGAUGGCAGCUGUGUAUGAAAUGUUGAGUCUCAGAAGGACGUCUGAACAGCUGCAGACCUCUCAUAGGAUUACUUAGUUCCUGAUCCUUCUCACCAGUAGCAAUUCUCCCUCACUGCCACCUGUCACCCAAAGUCAGAGUGAGGCUCUCAUCUCUCAGACCCCCUGAGGGAAGAGACAGCGCUUAUUGUUACUGUCUCAGUUCUGUUUUGCUUAGGGAUUUUAGUGUUUAUGCUUACCUCCCAGUAAAAUACAUUCAGUAAUCAAAAAUCUGUACAUGCAGUAUUCGUUUUCUCUUUUUCAAAGCAAUAGGAACAUGUCCUUUGGAAAAUUCUCCACCCAGGGCUCAGAGGAGUGACCUUGGGAAUUCAAGGAAUGGAUCUCUUUGACUAGAACAAUUAACAGGAAAUUAUAUUUAAUUAGACCUUAGGUGUUUUCAGUGAACCCUGUGUAAGUAGCCAUCCUAGAGGGUGGUAAGGGGAAGAAGGGAUGGGAAAGGGAGCUCUGAGUAGGACAGCAAAGCAGAAUAGUAAAAGUUUGGGCCUGGGGACUAAAUAGCCUAGGCUCAGAUCUGCUCUUACAUUCACCGGUGUGGUGUCAAGCAUGGUUUUUCACCUCUCUGGUACUUGACUUUCUCUUACGUAAAAUAGGGGUAAUAAUCUUUUUUGCAAUGAUUUGGGGAGGGGGUGAUCUCAAUGAUUUGUAAGGAUUUAUGGAAUUGUUCGUGUAAAUUGCUUGGAAUGAGUCUGAAGUAUGCGAAAUACUGUAUCAACUAUAAUUGCUGCUGCUGCUGCUGUUGACCGUGAAAAGGAUUAAAAGAAGAUAGUUAAGAAGAGGUGCUUAUUAUAUUUUACAUUGUCAAUGAGACUCUUGGGGUUCGAGAAAGAAAGGAUAACAAACUGAUGUGAAGGUUUUCAAUGGUGUGCUAGUAUGAAGUCAAUUCGUCAAUUCUCUGCCUUCUUUUUUCUUCUCUGCCAAAUAGGUUGGGAAGCCAGAUGAAGUUUGUCCAUGCCCUGAUCACUAAUCUAUUGCCUUUGCUCUUAUUUCCAAAUAGAAACCUGUUGAAAAGUUGUGUUACAUCUGAAUAAAGGUUACUCUAAAAAUGUAGAAAAAAUGCUUUGGUGUUGGUCAAAACUGGACUUGAAACCUGACUCAACUGCUUACUAGCUGUGUGAUCUAAGGCAUGUUAUUACUUAACCUCAUUGAACCUCAGUUGCCUCAUCUAAUCAUAAUUAAUUUGCAGGGUUUCUCUGAGGAUAUUUGUCAAGUGUAUGUCAUAAGCACUCUAUAAAUCAUAGCUAUCAUUGUUAGUUCUUGGGAUACUCACCAUGUGACAGAGACAACAGCACGCCCUGGUGGCUGGGAGGACUGCAUGGAUCCAUCCUCAACCUGGAGUUGUGCUCUUCUGAAGAAAUCCUACUCGGAUGGAUAUAAUACAACCUGCUAAGUGUCCUAGCACUUAUCAGGUUGUAUUAUCAUUGUCCGUGUCUAUGGCUCUCGUCUACCAGACUCUAAAUUCCUUACAGGCAAGGACAGUGCCUUAUUCAUCUUUGUAUUCGGUGCCUAAUCCCGUGCACAUUGUAGGCCUCAUUAAAUGUUUGUUGAAUGAAAAACUGAAUCAUCAACAGACAUUAAUUGGGCGCCUGCUCUGUGAUCUCCAUGGGCUCAGCUUUUUCCCGCCAGUUGCCUACAACGUCCAAGCUGUCUUCAAUAUGCUUUCUCCUGAAGCUUACUCCUAUCUUCUAAUUCUUUUGCUGAGGACUUUUCUGUGUAGUGCAAGGAAAGCAAAUAUAUUUACUUCAUCUCAAGUACCAUCUCCAACUGAUUGAGAGUACCUGCCUUGAUUGUGUUUAUAAAAAGGAUUCUGAAGCCAGGUCUCAGUUCAGUGUGAAAGAGCGUUAUGACUAAUCAGCAGUGUUUGCCAAGGGUGGGGGAGGGGGGCAUAACAGCACAAGGGCCAUAUCUGUGUCUUAUUUGAUACUAUGUUUUCCGUGAAAUACUCUGUUUCUAUGCCUGCAUUUUAGUCUUGGCUACUUGCAGAUGUUGCAUGGCUGCCGCUGCCGCUGCCCCUACUACAGUUGCUGCUGGUUGCUCCCUGGGUAGGACCAAAGUGAUCAUUGAUCAGAAACUUCAUCCUCACAGUCUGGGGUUUGCUCCUGUGGCUGGUAUUCACAGUUUCCCCUUUCAACUUUACCUCAGCUAUCCCCUUACCUACCACACUGACAGGUAGGCUUCCCCUUUCCGUUCACCACCCAAAAGGCUCAUAUUUCUUUUCUUAUUUCGUAUGAUUAAUUGUACUUGUUCCAUGAGAAGGCUUCUUUCUGUUAGAAGAUGUGACAACUAGAAUACAAGUUAAACGAUUCCAUCAGGGCACUACAGUGAGUCAUAUAAGCUUUCCCUUUACUGUGGGAGAAAAUUGCAGGCUUUAGGGCAGGAAGAACUGAGAAGGGAUGUGCGUUGUAGAUGUGGGAGAGGAAGACGAUAGCAGAUGGAAUAAGAUCCUGGGAAACGAUGUAGGUUGGGAGGGUGAAACCUGUGCCUCUAAAAUAGGAAUGGAGGGUUGAUAGCCUUGGUUGAAAGGAGUUUACCUCCUCACUGGAGCGUAGGGAUAGGAGUCAGGAAGAGUAGCUGAGAGGGUUGUUGAAGAUUUGUAAUUGCUGAGGUGAGUGAUGGAGAGGAAGCUGACCCGGGACAGGAUUAUGGAGACAAACCAGAGUCUAAGGACUAUUCGGGCCAAAAGGCUGGAGUGGGGCCUUUUGGUAUGUUAAAGUGGGAUACUGUCAUAUUAAAUGAUAGAUGAUACAUUCAGUUAAAGUGAGAAGCCAGUUUGAAACAUGAUUAGAAACUCAGGAAAUUAUAAAGUGGUCUUAGGCCACUGUCACAAGUAAAUUUGAUUGCCUAGGACCAGCCUUCAUUGACUGAGGAGUGGACAGCUAGCAAGAGAAGGGUUACACAGAAAUGAAUUUGGGAAUCCAGGCUAUGUGUGGAAGGCAGUUAGGUCAGAAGUGAGCUCAAAAGUCUGAAUACAAAGAGGACUUGGUGUGAUCAAGAUGGGUGUGGAAUAGUUGGAAAAUUGCAAUAAUAGGACCUGUAAUCAGAGAGUAGAUUUUUAGAGAUUUCAAAACUGGAGUGGUCAAGAUACUUGUGAAACUGGGAUGUCACAUAGUCAGCUACAUAAAUACUGAAGUGAGCCAGGAUUAUAGCAGAAGCUGGACUGGGAACAAACACUGGGGGCCAGAUAGAAUAGGCUUUGGUGCCUGAGGCGUGGUUAGAACUUGGCUCAUGGCAGCGGUGCAGGUGCAAAAGAGGAAAGGAUGUGGCGGGAUAGUAGUAGGAGCCGCAAAAGACUGGCAGGGAUUAUUAGAAGUUACCAAAAAAAAAAUUUAAUUUGCACGUUGCACUGUGGCUUGCAGAAGGCCCAGCUAAAACGAUCCCCUCAUUUACUGAGCUCCUGCUCUCUCCCUGGCACCUUGCUCUGUACUCUCCAUUUACCCUCUUUGGGUCUAUCACAUACCAGGUGUGAGAAUGAGCAGCGGUCCCAAGCAAGGACAGCUAGGGUAGCUGCUGGCCCUCAGAACUGAUGGAAUGCUGUGGCCACCUCAGCAGACUGGGCAGCUUGAAGUGGCAUAAAAAGAUUUCCUUAGGAUCAGAAUUUUCCCUUGACAUUGACCUAACUUUAUUACAUGGUACAAGCUCGUGUUGGCUGUUCCAUGAUGUACUCUGGCUUCCAAGCCUCUGAGUUGGGGAGUAUGCUGGUACUGUCCUUUAAAAAACAAAAACAGGCACAACACUUGAAAAAACACACAUAUUGAUUAACUCUUAAAUAAGACAGUCUGGUUAUCUAUUUGAGCUUUUAAGAUAAAGGAUAGAUCAAAGAAAGCUCACAUCGAUGGGUGAAUAACAAAACCACUUUGGAAAACCACUCUGAGGUUAGGAUUGUCCAGUUUAGUGGACUUACUAUAGAGAACCGCUGUGCUGUUGGGAAGGAGGGCUAGAUAUUGAGGCAGAAAAUGUCCCUUAGGACCCAGAAGGUCAAGUUUAGGAGAAGAGAGUCUCUUUGUGAACCCUGUGACAUUGCAUGUAGUCAUUUUUCUUCAGUUACAGUCUUCACAUGAGUUAUGAAAUUUCAAUGAAGGUUUAGAGCCACUGUGAUAGAGAGACCAGGCCCUCAGACAGCCCAUCCCCUCCUUUGGGGGCUGCUUUAUAUUUAUUCCUCAGGAGGAUCUGGUAGAAGACUUCGUGGGGGGAGAAGAAAAGGCAAGAAGCGGACAAGGACUACAGCCUGUCUUCAUCUCAACUUCACAAAGCAUGGUUCAGCAGAGGGAUCAUCCUCUUGAGACUCUCCAGACCACAGGUUGCUCCUUUCAGUUGCAUGCUUAGCCCUCUCAGCUAUUUUCUCUGUUCAGAAAUUGUAUUAUAUGUGUAUAUACGAACUAUCACUUCCAUAAAGAGUACUCCACAUUCCCAGGGGGAAAAAAUCCCUAAAAUAAGGUGUAAGGCUUGCUCUGUUAGGUUUCCAAUUGUCAGAAAUUGCUGGAUUCCCCAAUGCUGGGGUAUAGGCCACUAGAGAAGAGUUUGGGUUUCAACAGCAAAGGACCCCAGCAUCAUGGAAGGAAGGCAGUCAGCUGACUUGAAAGUAACCCCCAUCCCUGCACUUCAUAUUAUUACUACUUUUUCCUUCUGCUCCUUGUCUAAGAUACCACUGGCGACAGCAAACCAAAGCCAUACUCUCUUCUCCCACUGGCACUUUUCUGGCCUGCGUGAAUGCUGUUAGAAGUCACUCUUUCAUUAGCACGUCCUUCCCAUUUCUUAAGACCCAGAGAGUCAUGAAUGCUAGAGUUGGGGUCGAAUUUGCCCUACUUGGCCUCUGUGGUUGGGGAAUACUAAUGUUAAUCAGCCUCAUACCCACUCACUCCUGAUUUCAUGACAGAUGCUAGAGAAGCUGUAGCCAAGGCUGGCAACCCUGUAGACCCCAGCCCCAGGAUUUAUUUGAUGUCUCAGCUGGUUACAGAAUACUGGUAGGAGGGCUUGCCUUAACCCAGCCCCCCUUCUGAGUUAGUCAUCAGAAAUCAGGACUAGUCUUAGGGUAUAUGUUACAUAAGGACAGAUGCCUCAGGGAUUAAUAGUAAACAAGAUCAGGAGUCCAAGUUACCUUUUCUCUCUCUUGGGGAUGGGUGGCAUAGGGUAAGUGGAAAGUCUUGUGACUUUCAAAUAUAUUCCCAGUGAUUCCUCAGGAUACCCUGGGUCACACCAUCUGCUAUCUUAUCCCGGGUCUUGCCUUUCCUUCAGAGUUUUUCUAGUGCUUCUUGGCUCUCACUAACCACCUUUUAUUCCCUGCCCAACCCUGUUGGGUUUCAGCAGGUGUUUUGUUUUGUUCUUUUCCUUUUCCCUUCCUCAGGCCACCUGUGACAGUUGUCACUUGGGGGGAGCCUUGUUGUGAAUGAGUGAGUGAAGCCUCAGUGAGUGAGUGGAGUGGCACUCGUGUUUUUCUCUGAAUAUAAGGAGAGGGAAGGAGGCCAUGAAAUCCCAUAAUGGAGUAACAAAAAUUUGACAUUUUAGUAGAUACUGGACCUAGAAGCCUAUGUGAAUGAAGGGAACAAACCUGAGAGAUCUUGGAUGUGACUGAAUGAAGAUAGGAGUGAACUCCUUAUUACCCUUAGUAAUGGAGGAAGAGGGGGAAAAGUGUGAGGGAGGUCAUAAAAUCCUUUAUGUCCCCAGAGGAUGCCCUGAAACCAGCUUCAUAAACCCGUGACUUUUUAAGGUGGAUUAAAGAUGAGUUGUUGCACUGCACUACUUCUGUUGCUGUUUGUGUUGAGAGUUGCUGUUCCAAGCCGUUUUCUCAGGUACAGCUGCCUUUGUGGAGACUCCUCUUGACCCCUAUUGAGAAACAGCCCAGAACAAGGUUUGCAACUUAGAACUCUCUGGAUCAGUGACAGAGUUUUAAAGGGGUCGAGGACAGAGGAGGUAGCACAAGUAAUACCAAAUAUCUCAGGUUUUUAUAUAUAUAUAUAUAGGAUGGAUGGGAUAGAGGUGGAGAGCACAAUGGUUUUAGGCAACUCCUAACACCUGGUGAGGCAUAAGGAAACAGUACACUGAGAGGUCAGCCCUUCAGCAUAUUAUUUGUCAAUCUCCAGAGCAUGAUAGAAUAUCUAAAAGUUGUAAAAGAUUCUUUCCUAGAAGAGAUUCAGAAGAGGGGAACUUCCCGUUAUGUAAUGUGGGUAUUACAGCUUUUAAAGAGUUCCCUACAUAGGUCAUGGAGAUUGUUACUCAUAUCAGCCUGUGGGUGACCAGGCGAGUAUUAACUUCGAGGUUUCAUGCCCUUAGAUCCUGCCACUCUCUUGCUUUGACAGGUGUUCAUCUGCAGAAUGAGUCCAGUACUUGAAGAAGUAAGAGGACAACAGGCAUCAGGGGACAACAGUGUGGUCUUCUAACUGAAGAUGGCAACAGAAAAGAUCAUGGACUUGGCUGGUUUGGGGUGGGCUUAUUUGCUGUUUCAGAAUUUAAAAAAUACUUUUUUUUUUUCUUGACAGUAAAAGUAACAGAUGAUCAUUGUUGAAAAGGGUAUAAAUAAAAAAAUCAAGAACACCUGUAAUCAUACAACCCAGAAAACAACUCAUUUGUUUCCUUUUGCCCUUUUAAAAAAGAAUCUCUGUAACACAGUUUUUCACAUUCUUAUUUUAAUUUCAGUUAGUAAACCUACAGUGUUCUGUUCAUUUCGGAUGUACAAUUUAAAAACAAAAUUGACAUCAUAUUGCAUGUUUUCCAUUUUUCUUCAUUUGAAAAUAACGUAUUUCCAUGUCAUUACCAUUCUUUGAAAACACAGUAUUGGUACAUGGUAUUUCAUAGGGAUCUAACAAAAUUUAGGUAGAUAAUUGAAUGCUGCUGGACAUUUUGCAUAUUACCAAUUUUGCCUAUAAAAUGUAAUAAACAUUGUAUGUUAA
Molecule: long non-coding RNA, 8761 nt
Organism: Mustela erminea (ermine)
Lineage: Eukaryota; Metazoa; Chordata; Mammalia; Carnivora; Mustelidae
Exons: 8
Source: RefSeq, a predicted model, not a curated record